AUCAUUAACUGAAUCCAUAGGUUAAUGAGGCGAACCGGGGGAACUGAAACAUCUAAGUACCCCGAGGAAAAGAAAUCAACCGAGAUUCCCCCAGUAGCGGCGAGCGAACGGGGAGGAGCCCAGAGCCUGAAUCAGCAUGUGUGUUAGUGGAAGCGUCUGGAAAGGCGCGCGAUACAGGGUGACAGCCCCGUACACAAAAGCGCAUGUGCUGUGAGCUCGAUGAGUAGGGCGGGACACGUGGUAUCCUGUCUGAAUAUGGGGGGACCAUCCUCCAAGGCUAAAUACUCCUGACUGACCGAUAGUGAACCAGUACCGUGAGGGAAAGGCGAAAAGAACCCCGGCGAGGGGAGUGAAAAAGAACCUGAAACCGUGUACGUACAAGCAGUGGGAGCACCCUUUGGGUGUGACUGCGUACCUUUUGUAUAAUGGGUCAGCGACUUAUAUUCUGUAGCAAGGUUAACCGAAUAGGGGAGCCGGAGGGAAACCGAGUCUUAACCGGGCGUUAAGUUGCAGGGUAUAGACCCGAAACCCGGUGAUCUAGCCAUGGGCAGGUUGAAGGUUGGGUAACACUAACUGGAGGACCGAACCGACUAAUGUUGAAAAAUUAGCGGAUGACCUGUGGCUGGGGGUGAAAGGCCAAUCAAACCGGGAGAUAGCUGGUUCUCCCCGAAAGCUAUUUAGGUAGCGCCUCGUGAAUUCAUCUCCGGGGGUAGAGCACUGUUUCGGCUAGGGGGCCAUCCCGGCUUACCAACCCGAUGCAAACUGCGAAUACCGGAGAAUGUUAUCACGGGAGACACACGGCGGGUGCUAACGUCCGUCGUGAAGAGGGAAACAACCCAGACCGCCAGCUAAGGUCCCAAAGUCAUGGUUAAGUGGGAAACGAUGUGGGAAGGCCCAGACAGCCAGGAUGUUGGCUUAGAAGCAGCCAUCAUUUAAAGAAAGCGUAAUAGCUCACUGGUCGAGUCGGCCUGCGCGGAAGAUGUAACGGGGCUAAACCAUGCACCGAA
RNAcentral lists this ribosomal RNA (1007 nucleotides) under Salmonella enterica subsp. enterica serovar Enteritidis. RNAcentral describes it as "partial 23S ribosomal RNA". It matches the Rfam family "Bacterial large subunit ribosomal RNA", at positions 150 to 1198 of the family's 2925-position model. Lineage: Bacteria; Pseudomonadati; Pseudomonadota; Gammaproteobacteria; Enterobacterales; Enterobacteriaceae. The record is from RNAcentral.